GACGAACGCUGGCGGCGUGCUUAACACAUGCAAGUCGAACGGAAAGGCCCCUUUGGGGGUACUCGAGUGGCGAACGGGUGAGUAACACGUGAGUAACCUGCCCUUGACUUCGGGAUAACUUCAGGAAACUGGGGCUAAUACCGGAUAGGAAUCCUUGCUGCAUGGUGGGGGUUGGAAAGCUUCGGCGGUUUUGGAUGGACUCGCGGCUUAUCAGCUUGUUGGUGGGGUAGUGGCUUACCAAGGCUUUGACGGGUAGCCGGCCUGAGAGGGCGACCGGCCACAUUGGGACUGAGAUACGGCCCAGACUCCUACGGGAGGCAGAAGUGGGGAAUAUUGCACAAUGGGCGGAAGUCUGAUGCAGCAACGCCGCGUGCGGGAUGACGGCCUUCGGGUUGUAAACCGCUUUCAGCAGGGGCGAAGCUUGUGGUGACGGUACCUGCAGAAGAAGCACCGGCUAACUACGUG
This 465-nucleotide ribosomal RNA is filed under the name uncultured bacterium. RNAcentral's name for it is "partial 16S ribosomal RNA". It matches the Rfam family "Bacterial small subunit ribosomal RNA", at positions 28 to 507 of the family's 1533-position model. The record is from RNAcentral.